AAAUUGAAGAGUUUGAUCAUGGCUCAGAUUGAACGCUGGCGGCAGGCCUAACACAUGCAAGUCGAACGGUAGCACAGAGAGCUUGCUCUCGGGUGACGAGUGGCGGACGGGUGAGUAAUGUCUGGGAAACUGCCUGAUGGAGGGGGAUAACUACUGGAAACGGUGGCUAAUACCGCAUAACGUCGAAAGACCAAAGAGGGGGACCUUUGGGCCUCUUGCCAUCAGAUGUGCCCAGAUGGGAUUAGCU
RNAcentral lists this ribosomal RNA (247 nucleotides) under Salmonella enterica subsp. enterica serovar Enteritidis. Its description in RNAcentral is "partial 16S ribosomal RNA". It matches the Rfam family "Bacterial small subunit ribosomal RNA", at positions 1 to 246 of the family's 1533-position model. The record is from RNAcentral. Lineage: Bacteria; Pseudomonadati; Pseudomonadota; Gammaproteobacteria; Enterobacterales; Enterobacteriaceae.